Small nucleolar RNA from Chelonoidis abingdonii (Abingdon island giant tortoise), 83 nucleotides. The record is from Ensembl. NCBI's taxonomy places the organism in Eukaryota, Metazoa, Chordata, Testudines, Testudinidae.
GAUCUGUGAUGAGAAAUAGCCAAAUCUGAGCACCAGUAGAUCACCUGGUUUACAUGGUGUAUGAUCUAUAUACAGUUCUGGGA